GAUGAACGCUGGCGGCGUGCCUAAUACAUGCAAGUCGAGCGAACAGACGAGGAGCUUGCUCCUCUGACGUUAGCGGCGGACGGGUGAGUAACACGUGGAUAACCUACCUAUAAGACUGGGAUAACUUCGGGAAACCGGAGCUAAUACCGGAUAAUAUAUUGAACCGCAAGGUUCAAUAGUGAAAGACGGUUUUGCUGUCACUUAUAGAUGGAUCCGCGCCGCAUUAGCUAGUUGGUAAGGUAACGGCUUACCAAGGCAACGAUGCGUAGCCGACCUGAGAGGGUGAUCGGCCACACUGGAACUGAGACACGGUCCAGACUCCUACGGGAGGCAGCAGUAGGGAAUCUUCCGCAAUGGGCGAAAGCCUGACGGAGCAACGCCGCGUGAGUGAUGAAGGUCUUCGGAUCGUAAAACUCUGUCAUUAGGGAAGAACAAAUGUGUAAGUAACUAUGCACGUCUUGACGGUACCUAAUCAGAAAGCCACGGCUAACUACGUG
Molecule: ribosomal RNA, 497 nt
Filed under: uncultured bacterium
Lineage: Bacteria
Description: partial 16S ribosomal RNA
Rfam family: Bacterial small subunit ribosomal RNA
Source: RNAcentral